Long non-coding RNA from Phocoena sinus (vaquita), 2166 nucleotides. The record is from Ensembl. Lineage: Eukaryota; Metazoa; Chordata; Mammalia; Artiodactyla; Phocoenidae.
GCCGCAACCGCAACAGCUUCAAGCUUAGCCGUGUGCCGCUCUCCACUGUGCUUCUGGACCCCACACGCAGCUGCACUCAGCCGAGGGGCGCCUUCGCAGACGGCCACGUGCUUGAGCUGCUUGUGGGCUACCGCUUUGUCACCGCCAUCUUCGUGCUGCCCCAUGAGAAGUUCCACUUCCUGCGCAUCUACAACCAGCUGCGGGCCUCACUGCAGGACCUGAAGACUGUAGUCAUCGCCAAGACCCCUGCAACCGGGGGCAGGCCUCAGAGCCCCCCUGUGGAUGGCCAGGCUGCCGAGGACGGGGCCCGCAGCAAUGAGCAGCAUCUCCAGGAGGUCCCGGCAGAGGCUCCAGCUCCAGCCCCAGCCCCAGCCCCAGCGGAGGUCCCAGCUCUAACCCCAGCAAAGACCCCAGCUCCGGCAGAGCCCUCAGUGCCAGCUUUGGUCCCAGCGGAGGCCCCAGCCUCAGCAGAGACCCCUUUGGAGGCCUCAGUGGGGGCCUCAGCCCCGGCAGUGGAGGCCCCAGCACAAGUGGAGGCCCCCGCCCAGUACCCAAGUGAGCACUUGAUCCGGUCCACGUCAGAGGAGAAUCAGAUCCCUUCGCACCUGCCCGCCUGCCCGUCACUCCGGCACAUCGCCAGCCUGCAGGGGAGCGCCAUCGUCGAGUUCUUCCACAGCAGCGUUGCCGAGAUUUCUGGCAUCAGAAAAACGCCGACUACAACAACAGUCCCUUCCACAUCUCUCAGUGCUUUGUUUUAAAACUCAGCGACCUGCAUGUAGUCAACGUUGGACUCUUUGACCAGUAUUUCCGGCUGACGGGCUCCUCUCCGGCGCAGGUGGUUACAUGCUUGACACGGGACAGCUACCUGACACACUGCUUCCUCCAGCACCUCAUGGCCGUGCUCUCCUUGCUGGAACGCACACCCUCACCUGAGCCUGUCGACAAAGACUUCUACUCUGAGUUUGGAAACAAGACCACAGGGAAGAUGGAGAACUAUGAGCUGAUCCACUCAAGCCGUGUCAAGUUCACCUACCCCAGUGAGGAGGAGGUCGGGGACCUGACAUUCACUGUGGCCCAGAAGGUGGCUGACCCAGAGAAGGCGCCAUCCCUCAGCAUCCUGCUGUACGUGCAGGCCUUCCAGGUGGGCACACCACUGUCUGGGCGCUGCAGGGGCAUGUUGCGCCCCAAAACGCUCCUGCUCACCAGCGCCGAGAUCUUCCUCCUGGACGAGGACUUCGUCCACUACCCGCUGCCCGAGUUCGCCAAAGAGCCGCCACAGAGGGACCGGUACCGGCUGGAUGACGGCCGCCGCAUCCGGGACCUGGACCGCGUGCUCAUGGGCUACCAGACAUACCCACAGGCCCUCACCCUGGUCUUUGACGACGUGCAGGGCCACGACCUCAUGGGCAGCGUCACCCUGGACCACUUUGGGGAGGUGCCAGGUGGCCCGGCUAGAGGCGGCCAGGGCCGUGAGGUCCAGUGGCAGGUGUUUGUCCCCAGCGCUGAGAGCCGAGAGAAGCUCAUCUCGCUGUUGGCCCGCCAGUGGGAGGCCCUUUGUGGCCGGGAGCUGCCCGUGGAGCUCACUGGCUAGCCCGGGUUGUGGCUGGCCCUUGCCACCCGCCGUGUCUGGCCUGGUGUCCACUCAGGGCCGGGAAGCAGGCUUUCUUUGCUUUUUUAAAAUGUUUUCUCUUCUCUUUCGGUACCUUUGUUUGAUUGUCCUCCCAGAGAAUGUGAACAUGUGUGUUCAGUUGGUUCUCAGCCUCCCGCGGAUCUGCUGCCUGCCCCUGGUGCCGCGUGGCCAGGCACACCAGUUUCGUGUCUUUCGUGGGACCGUUGUUAACAUGUGGCGCCGUGGGUCUGGUUUACUCUUCUACGUGUCCUUUCCCGAGAUGUUAAGUUCAGUCUUGUUGCUGUUGCUGUCAUUGUGGGCACUUGCUGCUAACUAUGAAGCUGGCAGAGAAAUGCACAUUGAAAGCUCCCGCUCCAUGCAGUUUUCCAAAGGGGAGGCCUCUCCUGGUCCAGAGAAGUGGGAGAGCCCCAUGGGGGCAGGAGUCCCCCAGGCCUUGGGGCUGAGAGGGCUGGGAGCAGGGGACCUAGAGCUGCCAGCACCAAGUGUGAUUCCUGUUGCCUAUUUUCUCUAUUCCAGUAAAGCCAAGUUUGACACAG